Molecule: ribosomal RNA, 467 nt
Filed under: uncultured bacterium
Lineage: Bacteria
Description: partial 16S ribosomal RNA
Rfam family: Bacterial small subunit ribosomal RNA
Source: RNAcentral
GACGAACGCUGGCGGCGUGCUUAACACAUGCAAGUCGAACGGAAAGGCUCCAGCUUGCUGGAGUACUCGAGUGGCGAACGGGUGAGUAACACGUGGGUAAUCUGCCCUGCACUCUGGGAUAAGCCUGGGAAACUGGGUCUAAUACUGGAUAUGACCUUUCUCCUUAUGGGGUUUGGUGGAAAGUUUUUCGGUGUAGGAUGAGCCCGCGGCCUAUCAGCUUGUUGGUGGCGUGAUGGCCUACCAAGGCGACGACGGGUAGCCGGCCUGAGAGGGUGAUCGGCCACAUUGGGACUGAGAUACGGCCCAGACUCCUACGGGAGGCAGCAGUGGGGAAUAUUGCACAAUGGGCGGAAGCCUGAUGCAGCGACGCCGCGUGAGGGAUGACGGCCUUCGGGUUGUAAACCUCUUUCAGCAGGGACGAAGCGUAAGUGACGGUACCUGCAGAAGAAGCACCGGCUAACUAUGUG